Molecule: ribosomal RNA, 429 nt
Filed under: Bacteroidota bacterium
Lineage: Bacteria; Pseudomonadati; Bacteroidota
Description: Bacteroidetes bacterium partial 16S ribosomal RNA
Rfam family: Bacterial small subunit ribosomal RNA
Source: RNAcentral
UAGGGAAUCUUCGGCAAUGGGGGGAACCCUGACCGAGCAACGCCGCGUGAGUGAAGAAGGUUUUCGGAUCGUAAAGCUCUGUUGUUAAGGAAGAACGAGUGUGAGAAUGGAAAGUUCAUACUGUGACGGUACUUAACCAGAAAGGGACGGCUAACUACGUGCCAGCAGCCGCGGUAAUACGUAGGUCCCGAGCGUUGUCCGGAUUUAUUGGGCGUAAAGCGAGCGCAGGCGGUUAGAUAAGUCUGAAGUUAAAGGCAGUGGCUCAACCAUUGUAGGCUUUGGAAACUGUUUAACUUGAGUGCAGAAGGGGAGAGUGGAAUUCCAUGUGUAGCGGUGAAAUGCGUGGAUAUAUGGAGGAACACCGGUGGCGAAAGCGGCUCUCUGGUCUGUAACUGACGCUGAGGCUCGAAAGCGUGGGGAGCGAACAGG